GACGAACGCUGGCGGCGUGCUUAACACAUGCAAGUCGAACGCUGAAGCUCAGCUUGCUGGGUGGAUGAGUGGCGAACGGGUGAGUAACACGUGAGUAACCUGCCCUCUUCUUUGGGAUAACGCCCGGAAACGGGUGCUAAUACUGGAUAUUCACUGAUUCUCACAUGGGGGUUGGUGGAAAGGUUUUUUCUGGUGGGGGAUGGGCUCGCGGCCUAUCAGCUUGUUGGUGGGGUGAUGGCCUACCAAGGCUUUGACGGGUAGCCGGCCUGAGAGGGUGACCGGUCACAUUGGGACUGAGAUACGGCCCAGACUCCUACGGGAGGCAGCAGUGGGGAAUAUUGCACAAUGGGCGAAAGCCUGAUGCAGCGACGCCGCGUGAGGGAUGGAGGCCUUCGGGUUGUAAACCUCUUUCGCUCAUGGUCAAGCCGCAGCUUUGGGUUGUGGUGAGGGUAGUGGGUAAAGAAGCGCCGGCUAACUACGUG
This 482-nucleotide ribosomal RNA is filed under the name uncultured bacterium. RNAcentral's name for it is "partial 16S ribosomal RNA". It matches the Rfam family "Bacterial small subunit ribosomal RNA", at positions 28 to 507 of the family's 1533-position model. The record is from RNAcentral.